RNAcentral lists this ribosomal RNA (253 nucleotides) under uncultured bacterium. RNAcentral's name for it is "partial 16S ribosomal RNA". It matches the Rfam family "Bacterial small subunit ribosomal RNA", at positions 524 to 776 of the family's 1533-position model. The record is from RNAcentral.
UACGUAGGUGGCAAGCGUUGUUCGGAAUUAUUGGGCGUAAAGGGCUCGUAGGCGGUUUGUCGCGUCGGGAGUGAAAACACACAGCUUAACUGUGUGCUUGCUUCCGAUACGGGCAGACUAGAGGUAUGCAGGGGAGAACGGAAUUCCUGGUGUAGCGGUGAAAUGCGCAGAUAUCAGGAGGAACACCGGUGGCGAAGGCGGUUCUCUGGGCAUUACCUGACGCUGAGGAGCGAAAGUGUGGGGAGCGAACAGG